UCCAGACUCCUACGGGAGGCAGCAGUGGGGAAUAUUGCACAAUGGGGGAAACCCUGAUGCAGCGACGCCGCGUGAGCGAUGAAGUAUUUCGGUAUGUAAAGCUCUAUCAGCAGGGAAGAAAAUGACGGUACCUGACUAAGAAGCCCCGGCUAACUACGUGCCAGCAGCCGCGGUAAUACGUAGGGGGCAAGCGUUAUCCGGAUUUACUGGGUGUAAAGGGAGCGUAGACGGCGGUGCAAGCCAGAUGUGAAAGCCCGGGGCUCAACCCCGGGACUGCAUUUGGAACUGCGUGGCUGGAGUGCAGGAGGGGCAGGCGGAAUUCCUGGUGUAGCGGUGAAAUGCGUAGAUAUCAGGAGGAACACCGGUGGCGAGGGCGGCCUGCUGGACUGCAACUGACGUUGAGGCCCGAAAGCGUGGGGAGCAAACAGGAUUAGAUACCCCAGUA
This 445-nucleotide ribosomal RNA is filed under the name uncultured bacterium. RNAcentral's name for it is "partial 16S ribosomal RNA". It matches the Rfam family "Bacterial small subunit ribosomal RNA", at positions 330 to 792 of the family's 1533-position model. The record is from RNAcentral.